This 450-nucleotide ribosomal RNA is filed under the name uncultured bacterium. RNAcentral describes it as "partial 16S ribosomal RNA". It matches the Rfam family "Bacterial small subunit ribosomal RNA", at positions 354 to 796 of the family's 1533-position model. The record is from RNAcentral.
GUGGGGAAUUUUGGACAAUGGGCGAAAGCCUGAUCCAGCCAUGCCGCGUGCAGGAUGAAGGCCUUCGGGUUGUAAACUGCUUUUGUACGGAACGAAAAGACUCUGGUUAAUACCUGGGGUCCAUGACGGUACCGUAAGAAUAAGCACCGGCUAACUACGUGCCAGCAGCCGCGGUAAUACGUAGGGUGCAAGCGUUAAUCGGAAUUACUGGGCGUAAAGCGUGCGCAGGCGGUUAUAUAAGACAGAUGUGAAAUGCCCGGGCUCAACCUGGGAACUGCAUUUGUGACUGUAUAGCUAGAGUACGGCAGAGGGGGAUGGAAUUCCGCGUGUAGCAGUGAAAUGCGUAGAUAUGCGGAGGAACACCGAUGGCGAAGGCAAUCCCCUGGGCCUGUACUUACGCUCAUGCACGAAAGCGUGGGGAGCAAACAGGAUUAGAUACCCCAGUAGUCC